Molecule: non-coding RNA, 295 nt
Organism: Salmo salar (Atlantic salmon)
Lineage: Eukaryota; Metazoa; Chordata; Actinopteri; Salmoniformes; Salmonidae
Source: RefSeq, a predicted model, not a curated record
GGAGGACCUGAUACCAUAUCAGCACUCCUCCUCUGGGACACUGCCUUUAUGAAACCAAACACAUAGUUGUUAAAUCUAGUUACAGCAGGUGUUUACUGCCAUCUAGUGGAAGAUACCAAUAAAACACUUUAUUUUCAGGGUGGGGAGGCGGCUGAUUGAAACAGAAAGUAAAGUUGUUCUUUUGUACAGAAUCCAUUUUGAGACGACAGAGCAGAAGACGCUAUAUGGAGAUUACUGACAAAUAAAGAUCCAUUUUGAGACGACAGAGCAGAAGACGCUAUAUGGAGAUUACUGA